GUUGUACUCCCUCCAUCCCAUAUUAAGUGACUCAAAUUUGAUCAAAUAUGAAUGUAACUAUGCCUAAAAAAUGUCUAGACACAUAUAAUAGAAAGUCACUUAAUAUGGGACGGAGGGAGUAGGUU
Molecule: non-coding RNA, 125 nt
Organism: Brachypodium distachyon (stiff brome)
Lineage: Eukaryota; Viridiplantae; Streptophyta; Magnoliopsida; Poales; Poaceae
Source: Rfam